Molecule: non-coding RNA, 29 nt
Filed under: Mus musculus (house mouse)
Lineage: Eukaryota; Metazoa; Chordata; Mammalia; Rodentia; Muridae
Source: RNAcentral
UNCUCUUCCAGUUUGCUUUGCUGUACCUG